UACGUAGGGUGCUAGCGUUGUUCGGAAUUACUGGGCGUAAAGCGUGCGCAGGUGGCUUUAUAAGUCAGGUGUGAAAUCCCGCAGCUCAACUACGGAGUUGCAUUUGAUACUGUCUUGCUAGAGUACGGGAGAGGUUAGUGGAAUUCCUAGUGUAGAGGUGAAAUGCGUAGAUAUUAGGAAGAACACCAGUGGCGAAGGCGGCUCACUGGCCCGGAACUGACGCUGAUGCACGAAAGCGUGGGGAGCAAACAGG
This 253-nucleotide ribosomal RNA is filed under the name uncultured bacterium. RNAcentral describes it as "partial 16S ribosomal RNA". It matches the Rfam family "Bacterial small subunit ribosomal RNA", at positions 524 to 776 of the family's 1533-position model. The record is from RNAcentral.